CUUAUACAUUUCGUGUAUGUAUAUGAAUUCAUUUAUUCAUAUAAACCUGUCUCUCUGUCCUCCUGUCUGUCUGCAGGAGUCUGUCAAAGAAGUAUCAUCCCAAGAGGAGCAGAGAGGAUGAGAGCAGGUACACCUGGUGUUUGGCGUUUUCAGCAACUCUCCGUCAGUUGAGUGAACUCGCCAUUCAGAGAGAAGAACUCGCUGAGAACCUCAACACACAGAUCGUGUGUGAGCUGACACGAUACACACAGGAAGUAAAGGCUGAGAGGAAGACUCAUUUCCAAGAUGGCCGCCGUACCCAGCAGCACAUUGAGAGCUCCUGGAAACAACUUGAAUCUGUGAGUGACCUCUAACUCCGCCCACCAACACCUGUGGACCCACCCACAAACGCCACGCCUCUAACCCCACCCACCAACACAUGUUGACCCGCCCAGAAAAGCUAUGCCUCUAACCCCUCCCACCAACACAUGUUGACCCGCCCACAAAUGCUACGCCUCUAACCCCGCCCACCAACACCUGUUGACCCGCCAACAAACGCUACGCCUC
Molecule: long non-coding RNA, 546 nt
Organism: Anarrhichthys ocellatus (wolf-eel)
Lineage: Eukaryota; Metazoa; Chordata; Actinopteri; Perciformes; Anarhichadidae
Exons: 3
Source: RefSeq, a predicted model, not a curated record